RNAcentral lists this ribosomal RNA (3027 nucleotides) under Escherichia coli. RNAcentral's name for it is "23S ribosomal RNA". It matches the Rfam family "Bacterial large subunit ribosomal RNA". The record is from RNAcentral. Lineage: Bacteria; Pseudomonadati; Pseudomonadota; Gammaproteobacteria; Enterobacterales; Enterobacteriaceae.
UUAAGCGACUAAGCGUACACGGUGGAUGCCCUGGCAGUCAGAGGCGAUGAAGGACGUGCUAAUCUGCGAUAAGCGUCGGUAAGGUGAUAUGAACCGUUAUAACCGGCGAUUUCCGAAUGGGGAAACCCAGUGUGUUUCGACACACUAUCAUUAACUGAAUCCAUAGGUUAAUGAGGCGAACCGGGGGAACUGAAACAUCUAAGUACCCCGAGGAAAAGAAAUCAACCGAGAUUCCCCCAGUAGCGGCGAGCGAACGGGGAGGAGCCCAGAGCCUGAAUCAGUGUGUGUGUUAGUGGAAGCGUCUGGAAAGGCGCGCGAUACAGGGUGACAGCCCCGUACACAAAAAUGCACAUGCUGUGAGCUCGAUGAGUAGGGCGGGACACGUGGUAUCCUGUCUGAAUAUGGGGGGACCAUCCUCCAAGGCUAAAUACUCCUGACUGACCGAUAGUGAACCAGUACCGUGAGGGAAAGGCGAAAAGAACCCCGGCGAGGGGAGUGAAAAAGAACCUGAAACCGUGUACGUACAAGCAGUGGGAGCACGCUUAGGCGUGUGACUGCGUACCUUUUGUAUAAUGGGUCAGCGACUUAUAUUCUGUAGCAAGGUUAACCGAAUAGGGGAGCCGAAGGGAAACCGAGUCUUAACUGGGCGUUAAGUUGCAGGGUAUAGACCCGAAACCCGGUGAUCUAGCCAUGGGCAGGUUGAAGGUUGGGUAACACUAACUGGAGGACCGAACCGACUAAUGUUGAAAAAUUAGCGGAUGACUUGUGGCUGGGGGUGAAAGGCCAAUCAAACCGGGAGAUAGCUGGUUCUCCCCGAAAGCUAUUUAGGUAGCGCCUCGUGAANNNNNNNNNNNNNNNNNNNNNNNNNNNNNNNNNNNNNNNNNNNNNNNNNNNNNNUCAUCUCCGGGGGUAGAGCACUGUUUCGGCAAGGGGGUCAUCCCGACUUACCAACCCGAUGCAAACUGCGAAUACCGGAGAAUGUUAUCACGGGAGACACACGGCGGGUGCUAACGUCCGUCGUGAAGAGGGAAACAACCCAGACCGCCAGCUAAGGUCCCAAAGUCAUGGUUAAGUGGGAAACGAUGUGGGAAGGCCCAGACAGCCAGGAUGUUGGCUUAGAAGCAGCCAUCAUUUAAAGAAAGCGUAAUAGCUCACUGGUCGAGUCGGCCUGCGCGGAAGAUGUAACGGGGCUAAACCAUGCACCGAAGCUGCGGCAGCGACGCUGAUGCGUUGUUGGGUAGGGGAGCGUUCUGUAAGCCUGCGAAGGUGUGCUGUGAGGCAUGCUGGAGGUAUCAGAAGUGCGAAUGCUGACAUAAGUAACGAUAAAGCGGGUGAAAAGCCCGCUCGCCGGAAGACCAAGGGUUCCUGUCCAACGUUAAUCGGGGCAGGGUGAGUCGACCCCUAAGGCGAGGCCGAAAGGCGUAGUCGAUGGGAAACAGGUUAAUAUUCCUGUACUUGGUGUUACUGCGAAGGGGGGACGGAGAAGGCUAUGUUGGCCGGGCGACGGUUGUCCCGGUUUAAGCGUGUAGGCUGGUUUUCCAGGCAAAUCCGGAAAAUCAAGGCUGAGGCGUGAUGACGAGGCACUACGGUGCUGAAGCAACAAAUGCCCUGCUUCCAGGAAAAGCCUCUAAGCAUCAGGUAACAUCAAAUCGUACCCCAAACCGACACAGGUGGUCAGGUAGAGAAUACCAAGGCGCUUGAGAGAACUCGGGUGAAGGAACUAGGCAAAAUGGUGCCGUAACUUCGGGAGAAGGCACGCUGAUAUGUAGGUGAGGUCCCUCGCGGAUGGAGCUGAAAUCAGUCGAAGAUACCAGCUGGCUGCAACUGUUUAUUAAAAACACAGCACUGUGCAAACACGAAAGUGGACGUAUACGGUGUGACGCCUGCCCGGUGCCGGAAGGUUAAUUGAUGGGGUNNNNNNNNNNNNNNNNNNNNNNNNNNNNNNNNNNNNNNNNNNNNNNNNNNNNNNNNNNNNNNNNNNNNNNNNNAGCGCAAGCGAAGCUCUUGAUCGAAGCCCCGGUAAACGGCGGCCGUAACUAUAACGGUCCUAAGGUAGCGAAAUUCCUUGUCGGGUAAGUUCCGACCUGCACGAAUGGCGUAAUGAUGGCCAGGCUGUCUCCACCCGAGACUCAGUGAAAUUGAACUCGCUGUGAAGAUGCAGUGUACCCGCGGCAAGACGGAAAGACCCCGUGAACCUUUACUAUAGCUUGACACUGAACAUUGAGCCUUGAUGUGUAGGAUAGGUGGGAGGCUUUGAAGUGUGGACGCCAGUCUGCAUGGAGCCGACCUUGAAAUACCACCCUUUAAUGUUUGAUGUUCUAACGUGGACCCGUAAUCCGGGUUGCGGACAGUGUCUGGUGGGUAGUUUGACUGGGGCGGUCUCCUCCUAAAGAGUAACGGAGGAGCACGAAGGUUGGCUAAUCCUGGUCGGACAUCAGGAGGUUAGUGCAAUGGCAUAAGCCAGCUUGACUGCGAGCGUGACGGCGCGAGCAGGUGCGAAAGCAGGUCAUAGUGAUCCGGUGGUUCUGAAUGGAAGGGCCAUCGCUCAACGGAUAAAAGGUACUCCGGGGAUAACAGGCUGAUACCGCCCAAGAGUUCAUAUCGACGGUGGUGUUUGGCACCUCGAUGUCGGCUCAUCACAUCCUGGGGCUGAAGUAGGUCCCAAGGGUAUGGCUGUUCGCCAUUUAAAGUGGUACGCGAGCUGGGUUUAGAACGUCGUGAGACAGUUCGGUCCCUAUCUGCCGUGGGCGCUGGAGAACUGAGGGGGGCUGCUCCUAGUACGAGAGGACCGGAGUGGACGCAUCACUGGUGUUCGGGUUGUCAUGCCAAUGGCACUGCCCGGUAGCUAAAUGCGGAAGAGAUAAGUGCUGAAAGCAUCUAAGCACGAAACUUGCCCCGAGAUGAGUUCUCCCUGACUCCUUGAGAGUCCUGAAGGAACGUUGAAGACGACGACGUUGAUAGGCCGGGUGUGUAAGCGCAGCGAUGCGUUGAGCUAACCGGUACUAAUGAACCGUGAGGCUUAACCUU